Solanum dulcamara is the source of this 2024-nucleotide RNA transcript. It is a transcript of the gene named cytoplasmic tRNA 2-thiolation protein 2, with no coding region annotated. The transcript is spliced from 8 exons. The record is from RefSeq and is a predicted model, not a curated record. Lineage: Eukaryota; Viridiplantae; Streptophyta; Magnoliopsida; Solanales; Solanaceae.
CCAAUACACUUUCCUUUCUAGCCAAAAUGGCGUGUAACUCAGGAGCCUGCCAGUCCGGUUGUUACAGAGAUGACUCCUCCACCGGAGCAGAAGAAUCGCCGCCGCUAUCAAAGAAAAAUGAAGCUUCAAACGACGUCUUCAACGGUAGAAGGAGCACUGAACAUUUGGAUAAUGGAAUAUGUCUCAAAUGUAAGGUUAACAGAACCAUCGCCGCUGACGGCGGUGGUGGUAAUUUUGGUGGAGGAGAUGGAGGAAGGUUCUGUGCAGAUUGCUUCCGAAGUAAUCUAUUUGGAAAGUUUAGACUUGCUGUCACAGCUAAUGCUCUGAUUUCGCCGUCAGAUAACGUUCUUGUCGCCUUCUCUGGCGGUACUUGUUCCAGGGUGGCUCUGCAGUUCCUACAUGAGAUGCAAAGCAGAGCUCAGAAGAACUAUGAUGCCAGUAGAGAUAGAGCAUUACCAGUUUUUGGUGUUGGGGUUGCUUUUAUUGAUGAAAAAACCAUUUCAGCUGUCUCAUCUGAUGACCUUGAUAGAGCUAUUGAGGAAAUGAAACUUAUUGUGUCAGAUUUGGCUCCACCUAUGAAACAAUUCCAUGUAGUCUCAGCAGAGGCUAUUUAUUCGCCUAAAGUUGGUGAUGCAAAAGAUAGACUGAAUGAAUUAAUAAAUGCUGUUGGUGAUGUCACGGGAAAAGAAGAUCUAUUGGAGCAUUUUCGCAUGCUCUCCCUGCAAAAGAUGGCUAUUGAGAAUGGAUAUACCAAAGUUCUGCUAGGAACGUGUACGUCAAGAAUAGCUUGUCAUGUACUUGAAGCAACUGUCAAGGGAAGAGGUUACUCUUUAGCUGCUGAUAUCCAGUAUGUUGAUGCAAGGUGGAAGAUACCUGUGGUUCUUCCCCUCCGUGAUUGUCCUAUUCAUGAGUUGAGCAUGCUUUGCAGCCUUGACAGUUUGAUGACUGUAGAAGUUUUUAAUGGAACACGUGCUGGUAUCAAUGGCUUGAUCUCCUCAUUUGUAAAAUUGUUGCAGGAGGAAAACCCUUCCCGGGAAAGCACAAUCAUGAGAACAGCUGGAAAGCUGACACCUUUUCAUUUCAAUAGAAUGCCAGAGGACAAUGACUAUAAUGGUGAGGUGGCAUCUCGAAGGAGGCAAAAGAAAUACAACCUGAAAACUAAAGAUGCCCUUCCUCCCGAGUCAUUCUGUCCUAUUUGCAACAGUCCUCUGAAAAUAUCCAAUUCUGGAACUUCAAUUAAUUUUGACAAUGGGAAAACUAGUCCUAAUGGGAUUGGGGCUGCAUGCUGUGCAAGUUGUCAGUUUCAGGUUCUUCCCAAGGACCCCUCAUCUCUGGAACACUUCAUUUCUCUCUUGCCACCAUCACUGGUUUCCCAAGCAGAGGAUGGUGAUCGUCUAAGUCAGAGACAUCUAAGGGAGCAAAUAGAAGACUGCUUGCUCUCGGACAAUGAAGAUGGAACAUGAUCCAGCUGAUUAGUUUUGCAAAACAUCCAACUGCUUGCUGCAUUGAUAUGCAAAUCGUGUUUUGGCCACAAUACACUACUAGUUGCACACUCUUCAUAGAAGAGAAGAGGGGAAUUUAUUACUUACAGGGAAAUGGAAAUACAGAGACACCAGCCAUAGAAACUUAACUGGUUAAGUGUAGCAACCACAAAUUUCACUGGGGCAACCCAUAGCACAUGGAUCCUGAUAAAUAUUCUCCUGAAAUUUCACAGAGUGAAGAGACUCUUCUUCUUCUUCAUCAUGAUCAUAAAAGCUUGUAGUUUGAUCAGUCCAUUGUUGUGAAUCUGAUAAAGCUUGGUGGUUAUGGUACAACAGAAAAGCAAUAACCAUGAGGAUAAUUAUGGUGUUUCUGGCCAUUGAUUAAAGUUUUAAGAAUAUUGGGUAAAGGCAAUGUCAAAUGGUUACUUGUUAACAAGUCUCUCUAGCAAAUGAUUGCAUAUAAUGCCAGCCUGCUCUUGAUUGUUUGUUCUUGUAAUCUAGAAACUUUGAAUUGAAUUUUAAGGUCAAAGUUAAUUUUUAAAA